This 253-nucleotide ribosomal RNA is filed under the name uncultured bacterium. Its description in RNAcentral is "partial 16S ribosomal RNA". It matches the Rfam family "Bacterial small subunit ribosomal RNA", at positions 524 to 776 of the family's 1533-position model. The record is from RNAcentral.
UACAGAGGGUGCUAGCGUUGUUCGGAAUCAUUGGGCGUAAAGGGCGCGUAGGCGGCCUGCUAAGUCGAACGUGAAAUCCCUGGGCUCAACCCAGGAACUGCGUCCGAUACUGGUUGGCUUGAAUCCGGGAGAGGGAUGUGGAAUUCCAGGUGUAGCGGUGAAAUGCGUAGAUAUCUGGAGGAACACCGGUGGCGAAGGCGUCAUCCUGGACCGGUAUUGACGCUGAGGCGCGAAAGCCAGGGGAGCAAACGGG